RNAcentral lists this long non-coding RNA (366 nucleotides) under Astyanax mexicanus (Mexican tetra). RNAcentral's name for it is "lncRNA (ENSAMXG00005020314.1)". Lineage: Eukaryota; Metazoa; Chordata; Actinopteri; Characiformes; Acestrorhamphidae. The record is from RNAcentral.
CUACUAUUUUUCACUAGGGGCCUUUUUCUAGUUAAUAUUAUUAUUAUAAUUACUAAAGUAUCUUUAAAUGUAAAGAGAAAUAGAAAUAGAAGAUGAUGACUGUGUGUUAAUGUUUACUGAUGUGUUUGUGUGUGCAGGUCUGCAGUAAUGGUGCGUGUGUGGAGCUGGAGGAAGCCUAUGGAGAACCCAACUGUUCUAAAGCAUGCACAGGAAACUCAGUGUGUAAUAAUAUAGGAGAAUGCCAGUGCACACCAGGAUGGGUACCACCUGACUGUACCACACGCUACACAGACCACAUCACCUAUAACAGUGAGUCUACACACUAUAAAUACAUAUAUAUAUAUAUAUAUAUAUAUAUAUAUAUAU